AAAGGGAUAGUUCAACGGUAGAACAAUAACAGCUGCAGGUUCGAAUCCCGCUUCC
This 55-nucleotide transfer RNA is filed under the name Pseudobacter sp. Its description in RNAcentral is "tRNA-Ser". It matches the Rfam family "tRNA". From Rfam's summary of the family: Transfer RNA (tRNA) molecules are approximately 80 nucleotides in length. Their secondary structure includes four short double-helical elements and three loops (D, anti-codon, and T loops). Lineage: Bacteria; Pseudomonadati; Bacteroidota; Chitinophagia; Chitinophagales; Chitinophagaceae. The record is from RNAcentral.